AAAACAGAGAGAGAUACAGAGACGGCUUCUCUCUCUCGACUGAUCGGCCAAACCAUCGUUAGUUGCUUUGUUUAUACUCUCUUCUAACCUUUUACUUUCCGUUUUCCGAUUUCUUUCAUGUCAUUCUAAUGCUUAAUCAGUAGAAAAUUUUGAUCCAUUCGAUAGAUGUAUUGUUUAUUGUCAAUCAGUGGAUUUCAAGUAUAGAUACACUGGUUCGAGAUUAAUUAGGGUUAUCACUUUUGAAAUUUUUUGAUUCCGAUAACAAACCCUAGUUUUAAUGGCUACAUCUACUAUUAACCAUCAUUCUCACUGGAAUGCUGCCGCUGACACUGCUCCACAGCAGUCUAGCCGACCAGAAGAAGCCGCGCGUGGUGUUUACUCGCCCUGGGCUCAGAUUGGUCAAUCGGAAUCCAAUAUACAAGUAGUUCACUUCUCUGAUUGUUCGCUUUCUGAACAAGUGGACGGUUGUGCGUUUGAGAGUGACACUAAUAGCAAUGGGGCUAAAAAGACAGUUUGGAAUAAGCCCUCAAAUGGUACAGCUGAUGUUAGUCCUGUUAUGG
This 560-nucleotide unclassified non-coding RNA is filed under the name Hevea brasiliensis (rubber tree). The record is from RNAcentral. Lineage: Eukaryota; Viridiplantae; Streptophyta; Magnoliopsida; Malpighiales; Euphorbiaceae.